GACGACGCUGGCGGCGUGCUUAACACAUGCAAGUCGAACGAGGGGCGGACGGGUGAGUAAUGUCUGGGAAACGGCCCGAUGGAGGGGGAUAACUACUGGAAAAGGUAGCUAAUACCGCAUACCAUCGGAUGUGCCCAGAUGGGAUUAGGUAGGUGGGGGGGUAACGGGUCACCUAGGCGAAGAACCCUAGCUGGUCUGAGAGGAUGGCCACCCCAACCGGGACCGGGGCACGGUCCAGACCCCUACGGGAGGCAGCAGUGGGGAAUAUUGCACAAAGGGCGCAAGCCUGGUGCAGCCAUGCCGGGUGUAUGAAAAAAGCCUUCGGGUUUUAAAAUACUUUCAGCGAGGAGGCGUUACUCUCAGAAGAAGCACCGGAUAACUCCGUGGCAGCAGCCGCGGUAAUUC
RNAcentral lists this ribosomal RNA (405 nucleotides) under uncultured bacterium. RNAcentral describes it as "partial 16S ribosomal RNA". It matches the Rfam family "Bacterial small subunit ribosomal RNA", at positions 33 to 526 of the family's 1533-position model. The record is from RNAcentral.